RNAcentral lists this ribosomal RNA (497 nucleotides) under uncultured bacterium. RNAcentral describes it as "partial 16S ribosomal RNA". It matches the Rfam family "Bacterial small subunit ribosomal RNA", at positions 28 to 507 of the family's 1533-position model. The record is from RNAcentral.
GAUGAACGCUGGCGGCGUGCCUAAUACAUGCAAGUCGAGCGAACAGACGAGGAGCUUGCUCCUCUGACGUUAGCGGCGGACGGGUGAGUAACACGUGGAUAACCUACCUAUAAGACUGGGAUAACUUCGGGAAACCGGAGCUAAUACCGGAUAAUAUAUUGAACCGCAUGGUUCAAUAGUGAAAGACGGUUUUGCUGUCACUUAUAGAUGGAUCCGCGCCGCAUUAGCUAGUUGGUAAGGUAACGGCUUACCAAGGCAACGAUGCGUAGCCGACCUGAGAGGGUGGUCGGCCACACGGGAACUGAGACACGGUCCAGACUCCUACGGGAGGCAGCAGUAGGGAAUCUUCCGCAAUGGGCGAAAGCCUGACGGAGCAACGCCGCGUGAGUGAUGAAGGUCUUCGGAUCGUAAAACUCUGUUAUUAGGGAAGAACAAAUGUGUAAGUAACUAUGCACGUCUUGACGGUACCUAAUCAGAAAGCCACGGCUAACUACGUG